AUCAUGCAAGUCGAGCGCGCCCUUCGGGGUGAGCGGCGGACGGGUGAGUCCCCUGUGGGAAUAUGCCCUUCUCUAAGGAAUAGCCUCUGGUAAACGGAGAGUAAUACCUUAUACGCCCUUUGGGGGAAAGAUUUAUCGGAGAAGGAUUAGCCCGCGUUAGAUUAGGUAGUUGGUGGGGUAAUGGCCUACCAAGCCUACGAUCUAUAGCUGGUUUGAGAGGAUGAUCAGCCACACUGGGACUGAGACACGGCCCAGACUCCUACGGGAGGCAGCAGUAGGGAAUCUUAGACAAUGGGGGCAACCCUGAUCUAGCCAUGCCGCGUGUGUGAUGAAGGCCCUAGGGUCGUAAAGCACUUUCGCCAGAGAUGAUAAUGACAGUAUCUGGUAAAGAAACCCCGGCUAACUCCGUGCCAGCAGCCGCGGUAAUACGGAGGGGGUUAGCGUUGUUCGGAAUUACUGGGCGUAAAGCGCACGUAGGCGGAUUAGUAAGUUAGAGGUGAAAUCCCAGGGCUCAACCCUGGAACUGCCUUUAAUACUGCUAGUCUUGAGUUCGAGAGAGGUAAGUGGAAUUCCGAGUGUAGAGGUGAAAUUCGUAGAUAUU
RNAcentral lists this ribosomal RNA (601 nucleotides) under uncultured bacterium. RNAcentral describes it as "bacterial SSU rRNA". It matches the Rfam family "Bacterial small subunit ribosomal RNA", at positions 52 to 698 of the family's 1533-position model. The record is from RNAcentral.